AACGAACGCUGGCGGCAUGCCUAACACAUGCAAGUCGAACGAGACCUUCGGGUCUAGUGGCGCACGGGUGCGUAACGCGUGGGAACCUGCCCUUAGGUUCGGAAUAACUCCCCGAAAGGGGUGCUAAUACCGGAUAAUGUCUUCGGACCAAAGAUUUAUCGCCUUUGGAUGGGCCCGCGUUGGAUUAGCUAGUUGGUAGGGUAAAAGCCUACCAAGGCGACGAUCCCUACCUGGUCUGAGAGGAUGAUCAGCCACACUGGGACUGAGACACGGCCCAGACUCCUACGGGAGGCAGCAGUGGGGAAUAUUGGACAAUGGGCGAAAGCCUGAUCCAGCACUGCCGCGUGAGUGAUGAAGGCCUUAGGGUUGUAAAGCUCUUUUACCCGGGAUGAUAAUGACAGUACCGGGAGAAUAAGCUCCGGCUAACUCCGUG
This 433-nucleotide ribosomal RNA is filed under the name uncultured bacterium. RNAcentral's name for it is "partial 16S ribosomal RNA". It matches the Rfam family "Bacterial small subunit ribosomal RNA", at positions 29 to 507 of the family's 1533-position model. The record is from RNAcentral.